This 1453-nucleotide ribosomal RNA is filed under the name Klebsiella pneumoniae. RNAcentral's name for it is "bacterial SSU rRNA". It matches the Rfam family "Bacterial small subunit ribosomal RNA". The record is from RNAcentral. Lineage: Bacteria; Pseudomonadati; Pseudomonadota; Gammaproteobacteria; Enterobacterales; Enterobacteriaceae.
CUACCCUGCCGCAGCCUACCCAUGCAAGUCGAGCGGUAGCACAGAGAGCUUGCUCUCGGGUGACGAGCGGCGGACGGGUGAGUAAUGUCUGGGAAACUGCCUGAUGGAGGGGGAUAACUACUGGAAACGGUAGCUAAUACCGCAUAAUGUCGCAAGACCAAAGUGGGGGACCUUCGGGCCUCAUGCCAUCAGAUGUGCCCAGAUGGGAUUAGCUAGUAGGUGGGGUAACGGCUCACCUAGGCGACGAUCCCUAGCUGGUCUGAGAGGAUGACCAGCCACACUGGAACUGAGACACGGUCCAGACUCCUACGGGAGGCAGCAGUGGGGAAUAUUGCACAAUGGGCGCAAGCCUGAUGCAGCCAUGCCGCGUGUGUGAAGAAGGCCUUCGGGUUGUAAAGCACUUUCAGCGGGGAGGAAGGCGGUGAGGUUAAUAACCUUGUCGAUUGACGUUACCCGCAGAAGAAGCACCGGCUAACUCCGUGCCAGCAGCCGCGGUAAUACGGAGGGUGCAAGCGUUAAUCGGAAUUACUGGGCGUAAAGCGCACGCAGGCGGUCUGUCAAGUCGGAUGUGAAAUCCCCGGGCUCAACSUGGGAACUGCAUUCGAAACUGGCAGGCUAGAGUCUUGUAGAGGGGGGUAGAAUUCCAGGUGUAGCGGUGAAAUGCGUAGAGAUCUGGAGGAAUACCGGUGGCGAAGGCGGCCCCCUGGACAAAGACUGACGCUCAGGUGCGAAAGCGUGGGGAGCAAACAGGAUUAGAUACCCUGGUAGUCCACGCCGUAAACGAUGUCGAUUUGGAGGUUGUGCCCUUGAGGCGUGGCUUCCGGAGCUAACGCGUUAAAUCGACCGCCUGGGGAGUACGGCCGCAAGGUUAAAACUCAAAUGAAUUGACGGGGGCCCGCACAAGCGGUGGAGCAUGUGGUUUAAUUCGAUGCAACGCGAAGAACCUUACCUGGUCUUGACAUCCACAGAACUUUCCAGAGAUGGAUUGGUGCCUUCGGGAACUGUGAGACAGGUGCUGCAUGGCUGUCGUCAGCUCGUGUUGUGAAAUGUUGGGUUAAGUCCCGCAACGAGCGCAACCCUUAUCCUUUGUUGCCAGCGGUUAGGCCGGGAACUCAAAGGAGACUGCCAGUGAUAAACUGGAGGAAGGUGGGGAUGACGUCAAGUCAUCAUGGCCCUUACGACCAGGGCUACACACGUGCUACAAUGGCAUAUACAAAGAGAAGCGACCUCGCGAGAGCAAGCGGACCUCAUAAAGUAUGUCGUAGUCCGGAUUGGAGUCUGCAACUCGACUCCAUGAAGUCGGAAUCGCUAGUAAUCGUAGAUCAGAAUGCUACGGUGAAUACGUUCCCGGGCCUUGUACACACCGCCCGUCACACCAUGGGAGUGGGUUGCAAAAGAAGUAGGUAGCUUAACCUUCGGGAGGGCGCUACCACUUGGAUAAGAACUUUAAAAA